Nicotiana attenuata is the source of this 789-nucleotide long non-coding RNA. RefSeq lists it as uncharacterized. The transcript is spliced from 2 exons. NCBI's taxonomy places the organism in Eukaryota, Viridiplantae, Streptophyta, Magnoliopsida, Solanales, Solanaceae. The record is from RefSeq and is a predicted model, not a curated record.
GCCAUCCCCCCCAUUCCAUCUCGUUCGUUUUAUCUCCCUCAUCAGAGACCAAACCCUAAGCGCCGCCCUAAUAUUCUAACCUUCUCCGGUGGCGGCGCCACCCACAAUCCGUCCUAGAUUUACACCAUAAGACCCUCACAGUUCCCUCUUUCCACAGCUCAAAGCCAUACCCUUCGAAUCCUCCUACAUCUCGUCGAAUUUCAAAUCUGAGGUGGAAACCCUAAAACCCAAAUCUCCCCAAAUUGUCGAGGUUCAGUAAAAGAUUGGGGUCAAGGUUGAUUUUAUUCCUGUGUUCUCAACGAGAACACACGAUUAAUGUCAAUCUCGGCAAAAAUUGAAGGCGUUGAAGCAUUUUUCAACCUCCACUGUCCAAACGUUCCUCUUAGGUAUUUUCCAAACCAUGGACAACAAGUGAUAGUAAAUAUGUAUUUCGAGUGGAAACCUGACUGAAUACAAGUUGUGUUUUGAGUUUUAUUUCUUCUAUUUCUUCCAUUUCUGUAGCAUCCUGUAGUAAAUCCUAUACUAUACAUGUUAUCUGAGUUUUCUCAUGUCAUAAAUAUGCUGUAAAAUUGAAUCAAUGUUAUUUGAGAGUUUGGGUGUGAUUUUUGGAUUCACGUGAAUGAUUUGUUGACAUCCUGGGUCUUUGCUACUGUUAGUAUUAAGAAAGGGGUCUAGCUGAGAUUAAAUUUCAUAUUGUUAUUUAUGAGUUAGCCUAGAAUUGAAUUCAAGCAUGAACAUUUGUUGGUUUUGUUAUCAAUGUAAUUGAAGUCGAGACUGUGUUGUUUUUUA